RNAcentral lists this non-coding RNA (104 nucleotides) under bovine gut metagenome. The record is from RNAcentral.
AGGGGUGCUGAGGCGCGGGGCGGCGAAGGCCGUUUCGGAGCCGAGGCUGAGAUGAUACCCUCACUACCUGAUCGGGGUAAUGCCCGCGUAGGAAAAAAGCUAUC